GUAGGUGGCAAGCGUUGUCCGGAAUUAUUGGGCGUAAAGCGCGCGCAGGCGGUCCUUUAAGUCUGAUGUGAAAGCCCACGGCUCAACCGUGGAGGGUCAUUGGAAACUGGGGGACUUGAGUACAGAAGAGGAAAGCGGAAUUCCACGUGUAGCGGUGAAAUGCGUAGAGAUGUGGAGGAACACCAGUGGCGAAGGCGGCUUUCUGGUCUGUAACUGACGCUGAGGCGCGAAAGCGUGGGGAGCAAACAGGGAUUAGAUACCCUGGUAGUCCACGCCGUAAACGAUGAGUGCUAAGUGUUAGGGGGUUUCCCGCCACUUAGUGCUGCAGCUAACGCAUUAAGCACUCCGCCUGGGGAGUACGGCCGCAAGGCUG
This 373-nucleotide ribosomal RNA is filed under the name uncultured organism. Its description in RNAcentral is "partial 16S ribosomal RNA". It matches the Rfam family "Bacterial small subunit ribosomal RNA", at positions 527 to 896 of the family's 1533-position model. The record is from RNAcentral.